UCAUCGCAACCCAGGACAGGAAUACUCCACAGGCUCUACACUCAAACCACCCAGAACAUCACUAGUACAAUUUACAGAGCUUCAGUGACACUGGUGAAGUGAGGUGUCUGCCUGUCUGAAUGCGGUGUGCUCUUUAAGUCAAACUGAUCAACUUAGAAAAUGGAAUCACAUGUGCUUAUUUCAAGUACAUUCACAUCAAGCCAAGGAUGUAGUUAAACGGCCUUUAUUAGUUAGGCCAUAGACCAUAUUCACACAGCGGCUCAACUGCUGGAUCAUGUAAUUCUGCUGUGUUCCAUGUCAUCUGAAGAUCUCUUGUAAGUCAUCAUCCGUUUUUCUCUGGUAAUCUGAAAAGGAGAAGUAUCUUGUCAUGGUGACAGGAGGGAUUGAUGACAGCUGACUGAGUCACUCAUUGUCAAAAAUCAACUUGAUUUUGUGGAAAGUUACCUUACAAGGAAGUAAACUGUGAAGGCCACUGGAAAGAGUAAAUAAUAAAGUGACAUCUGUCCACACUGGAAGUCAACCGAUAAUAAGAACGCUGACAAAAGCUGCUGAAACCUGUCGUUGGGGGCUGUUAAAUUACCUCAGGCCUUUUGCGAAAACAGCCGCUGGCAACAGGUAGGU
This is a long non-coding RNA of Acanthopagrus latus (yellowfin seabream), 621 nucleotides long. RefSeq lists it as uncharacterized. Lineage: Eukaryota; Metazoa; Chordata; Actinopteri; Spariformes; Sparidae. The record is from RefSeq and is a predicted model, not a curated record. The transcript has 3 exons.